UACGUAGGGUGCAAGCGUUGUCCGGAAUUAUUGGGCGUAAAGAGCUCGUAGGCGGUCUGUUGCGUCGGCUGUGAAAACCCGGGGCUCAACUCCGGGCCUGCAGCCGAUACGGGCAGACUAGAGUUCGGCAGGGGAGACUGGAAUUCCUGGUGUAGCGGUGAAAUGCGCAGAUAUCAGGAGGAACACCGGUGGCGAAGGCGGCUAUCUGGACCGACAUUGACGCUGAGGCGCGAAAGCGUGGGGAGCAAACAGG
RNAcentral lists this ribosomal RNA (253 nucleotides) under uncultured bacterium. Its description in RNAcentral is "partial 16S ribosomal RNA". It matches the Rfam family "Bacterial small subunit ribosomal RNA", at positions 524 to 776 of the family's 1533-position model. The record is from RNAcentral.